AGAAUAUUAGAGAGAGAGGGAGAGAGAUUCUAGGCUAAGAGAGCCAUGUUGAUCAAAAUCCGAGCCCCGAAUCCCGAAGCUCAUGAAGAGAAAAGCGUUGUGCGUCGCGUUGCCUUCAGUUUGAGCUAAAAAUCAGCCAAAAAGAGGAGUUCUGACGUGGUUGCUGCAUACUUAAGAUUACAAACUUGGACAGCAGAUCUUAGACGAAUAGGCGCGCUUCAAGGUACAGACACUCAGUCCGGUGAUCCUCCAGCGUAGGACUUCUGCUCAGCUGUUUGGAGAGCUCCAUUGUCCAGAGCCUAGAUAUUUUGGUACAGAUCUUCUGAUAUAGACUUAUAUAUAUUCAGGGGUACGGCCGGGCCCUGUCCCGUCAUAUUUCACUCUUAUAACUCUUAGAGGUCUGUAGACAUAUGUGGGUUGUGAGUAGGUUUUGGUCAGCCGUGUCAAUAUGGUUUGUUUUGGAUAUUCCCGUGUAUAGUGGCAGCUUUGUCGGCUUGCGUAUUGUGUUAUGCUUUGAUCAGCUAUGACUCCUCAGGAAACAGGUUUAUGAUGAUACGGCUGUUGACACCUAAUUUUAGCUCGACGUGCUUAAAAUUAACGUUUUGGGGGGCCCUGAUUCGUUAAAGAGCACGAAAUACAUUUUUACACAUUUUUACACUUUUUCAACAAUUUAUUGAUGAUUAUCAUUAUUUUAGAAAUUUUCUCAUUUUAUUGUCAUUUUUUCAAGAAUCAUUAUUUUGCACAUGUACAGCGUAAUAUUACCAUUUUUAUGCAAUUAAUAAUUGUUUCUUAAUUUUAUAUCAAUACAUUUUCAUAUCAUAGACAUUAAUAUUUAUAUUUUAUACUUGCGUUAUUAUUUAUACAUGUAUUAAUUAACUAUAUUUUAAUAUAGUCCGACAGUGCAGAGAAAAUCGGAGUAACUAAUUUUUUAACGCAGAGUAAAAUCUGAUCAAGUCAAGGUUCAUCACUUUAAAAAAAAAAAAAGGGAUUAAAGUAAGCAUUGAGGAGACAAAAGAGUGCAAUCUUCUAUUCUUUGGACAAAAUAAGGGGCCAUUUUGCAUUAUAAGAAAAGGAGGGGUAUUCAUGUUCUACAUAUAUUUACACAUACACACACAAGCACAAAAGAACCUGAGACUUUUUUUUCUCUCUCUAAAAAAAACCCUAAACAUUUUCCCCCCCAUUUCUCCCUAGCCGCCGCCACACCACGCCGGAGCUCGGAGCUCCGGCGCCCAACUACACCACCAGUUUCCUCCGUCCUCGCCAACCCAGUACCGCCAAUGACGCCACUGCCCCCAUUUCUCUCCUCCCCUCACACCUCUUUCCAGCCGCCUCUCCGCCACCUUCUCCGGCGAACUCACGUCGCCGGAGCAACCCAAAAUAGUCCCCCCCCCUUCUCGUCCUCAUCUCCUUCGCUGCUUCGGUGAACCCAAGCAGCCAACAACCAAAUCACUACCAACCAACAACGCCACCAAACUUCGACGAACCACCGCAAAGCCACCAGCUGCCCGUUCCUCCCUUUCCCGUCACUGCUCCGAUGAGCUAAGACCAGCGAACAUCUUCUCCCACCGCGUCAUCCCUCUCAGCCGCCGCCAGACCUUCCACGCCGGAUAUCCAAGCUCUGGUGAAACGCCGACGCGCUAAACUAACCCCUUUCGCUCCCCCCUUCAUCGACAUACACUCUCUGUUUUCCUAUGCUUUUCUGGUAAUUAAGUAGUGCCUCUCAAACUCUCUUUAUCUGUGCAUUCUAAUCCAUAUUUAUCCUUUUUGACUCUUUUCAAUUUUUGCUUGAAUAGAUGCAUUAAGUAUUUAACUUGGAAUUCUCUGUGUUCUAUUACUUUCCAUGGAAGUUAUUGGUCAAUAUUACGUAUUGGGUUUGUAUUAUUUUAGUGUUACGUGUUUUCUCUUUUGUUUCCUACUGUAAUUUGCUGUCGUAAUGUACAAAUCAAAUUUAGUCGGUUUUGUAUAUGAUAACAAGUCCCAUUUUGAUACCCAUCUCUAGCCGCCUUAUUUUCCGUUGUUCUUUCCAUUCUUACACGCGUGAAAGUUAAAUUCAAGAAUCAAGAAUCAAGAUCCAUCUAGAAACUUCAGAUUUUUUAUCCAUAAAAGCCCCUUCUUUUGCCCUUUGUGUAAUUUUUUUUUAUUUAAAAGAUCAGAUCUUUAGUACCAAUUGAAUUUUCUUUGAUUGAAUUUGACAGGCCAUAACUCUCCACAAACAAAGACACCAACAAUCAUUUAAAGUUUUUUAUGUUGCCUUAAUGAUGCGUUCGAGAUUUUGUCAUAUUUAUUCUUUCACAGUUUUUUUUUUUUUUUUUUUCAAACGAAAAUAAAAAAUAGCUAUUCCAGAUUGUACUCUCAUUUGUCCUACUUCACUUUAUUUACUCAUCCUUCAAUCUCAAAUAAUGGGAACUCCUCGAUGUCUUACUUCGGGGUACACCAUCUAGUGUUGGUCCAAUAUUUCAUAUGGUAUAUCUUUUAAUAUAAACAAUUAUUAGCUCAUAAACGAUCAAAUAUAGCAGGUGAUGUUAAGCUAUUAACAAAACCAUAGGGGAGAUGUAGCGAGAGUGUUGAAGACAUUUCAAAUGUCACACCUUUUACCGCCUUUACUAAAUUGAUUUGGGCGAAUACUAAACCCAAAUGGCCGAUGAAGAAAUUUCCGUCGAUUUCCAAGGCCUUCCAUGUACAAAGACGGAUUUUUAUUUUAAGUUUAUUCAUUAUUUUUUAAUUUAUUCGAUAAUUAUUUAUUCUCUUACUAACAUUUUUUAUUAAGUCUCAUGCAGGUAUCCGAAGUUAUUUUUUUGAAGGUGACACUCAAAAGAAGUUCAAAUAGCUUCUUAAAUUCUUUGUUUAUAUUUUUUGCAUUCUUAAAUUAUGCAAGCAUAAAAUAUAGUGAAACUUUACUUUUAGGGUGUAGGUUAGUGGUAUUUAUUUAUGAUCUGCUUAGGUGCUUUAAAUUUUAUGUGUUUUUAGACAAAUUAAUAUUAGGCAGUUAUUAUUUUUGUAACAUAAUAUUCUUAUAGUUAUCAUGUUUUGCUAGAGUUUUAAUUCAAUAGCUUAGCACACUUAAGUAAAUAAAUAGGGUGAUUUGCCUCAAUAUUUAGGCUUUAGAAUAUACUCUCAUAAUUAAUUGAUUAGGCGUACAUACUUAGUUAGUUAAAUUAGUUAACUCACUUCGAGUGCAAAAUAAUUUCAUGCCCAAGCUUCUAAGUUACACAUAACUUUUUUUAUAAUAAUUAUUAUAUCACAUAUGUAUAAAAUACGUAUUGCAUGAUUAUUUAUGUGAAUAUUCAUAUUAUUCUUUAGUCUAAAUUCUAUUAAUUUUUGUAAAUAAUAAAGUCUUUUUACACAUCCCUCGUAUAGUUAAAUUGGUCCAGCCGGGAACCACAUUUGUGGAUUCUGAAGGAUGCCUAACACCUUCCCUUCGGAAUAAUUUGAACCCUUACCUAGAAUCUCACUUAUUUUUGUAGACCAUGUUAAGCUGCAUAUAUUAAUAAUUUAUAGGUACCCUAGUAUACCUUAAAUGCUAGGUGGCGACUCUGUACAUAAUUAAUUAUUUCAGAUCUCCAUAAGUUGUGCUUUGUUUAGCCUUCGGUUAAAAUGAGGUGCAACAACGGCAUUGUGAAUCUUUAAUUGCUUUUACAAGUUUCCAUUCUGUCCUUAGUUUCAGUUUGACUAUAUCUAACAAGUUCGUAAACGAGUGUCCAGCUCGGGCACUAGUCAUGGCCCAUGGGGUUGGGUCGUGACAGCUGCAUCGAUUAAAGUGUUGGUUCAGUGGUAAAAUCUUGGACCAACUGAAGCUACGUGGGAGGAUUGAGGUUAUAUUAGAAGUCAAUUUCCUGAUUUUGCUGCUCAACACUGACCUUGAGGUCAAGGUCAAUUUGAUCGGAGGGGUAGUGUUAUGAUCGAAGAGGGAAAAGAGAAAUUGGGGGAGAAAUUAGGUUUGAAAUUGGGGAUCGAUUGAUUGAAGACUGAUUUAGAAAGAUGAGUUAUUUUAGUCAAUAGGCAAAGGGACAAGUGGCGAGCAGAAGUGGAGAGAUCAGAAGUGCGCAACUCACGUGCCACUUAAAAUACACGGUGGAGAUUAAAUAGAGAUAAAAGACAUCAGACGGUCCAGAUUAAUUGAGCAGUUACAAGUUGUUACAAAGAUAUAUUCUCACAGCUGGAGAAUGGGAUCAUUAUUGAGAAUCUGGUAUAUUCAACUUCCUAAUUCCUCUUCUCCUUCUAUUCUAACUUCUUCUUCUUCUUCUUCUUCUUCCUCCCCAUUCAUUCUUCUUUCUAUCACAGGUAUCCACCAUUGUUGACCACCAUUAUUGAAACUGCUCAAGCUUAUCUCAUUAUAAUAGCUAGAACUAUCUCACUGUAAUAUCUAGAACUGUACU
Molecule: long non-coding RNA, 4376 nt
Organism: Lycium barbarum (goji berry)
Lineage: Eukaryota; Viridiplantae; Streptophyta; Magnoliopsida; Solanales; Solanaceae
Exons: 3
Source: RefSeq, a predicted model, not a curated record